AGUAGCCGCGGUAAUACGUAGGGUGCAAGCGUUAAUCGGAAUUACUGGGCGUAAAGCGUGCGCAGGCGGUUUGUUAAGACAGAUGUGAAAUCCCCGGGCUCAACCUGGGAACUGCAUUUGUGACUGGCAGGCUAGAGUAUGGCAGAGGGGGGUGGAAUUCCGCGUGUAGCAGUGAAAUGCGUAGAUAUGCGGAGGAACACCGAUGGCGAAGGCAGCCCCCUGGGCCAAUACUGACGCUCAUGCACGAAAGCGUGGGGAGCAAACAGGAUUAGAUACCCCAGUAGUCCCUGUCUCUUAUACC
This 301-nucleotide ribosomal RNA is filed under the name uncultured bacterium. RNAcentral's name for it is "partial 16S ribosomal RNA". It matches the Rfam family "Bacterial small subunit ribosomal RNA", at positions 510 to 808 of the family's 1533-position model. The record is from RNAcentral.